This 327-nucleotide ribosomal RNA is filed under the name uncultured eukaryote. RNAcentral describes it as "partial 18S ribosomal RNA". It matches the Rfam family "Eukaryotic small subunit ribosomal RNA", at positions 1470 to 1796 of the family's 1831-position model. The record is from RNAcentral.
CCCCUAGAUGUUCUGGGCCGCACGCGCGCUACACUGAACAGUUCAACAAGUCUUAACCUUGGCCGAUAGGUCUGGGUAAUCUUUGAACGCUGUUCGUGAUUGGGAUAGACCUUUGCAAUUAUGGGUCUUGAACGAGGAAUUCCUAGUAAACGCAAGUCAUCAGCUUGCAUUGAUUACGUCCCUGCCCUUUGUACACACCGCCCGUCGCAGCUACUGAUUGAAUAUAUCGGUGAAAUAUUGGGACCGUGAUGAACGAAGCUUCAUUGCUUCUAUCAUUAUGGGAACUUUCUUAAACCUAUCUAUUUAGAAGAAGCUGAAGUCGUANCA